GGAGAGAUGGCUGAGUGGUCGAAAGCGCUUGUCUCGAAAACAAGUAAACACUUUCGUGUUUCGGGGGUUCAAAUCCCCCUCUCUCCG
RNAcentral lists this transfer RNA (87 nucleotides) under Clostridiales bacterium KA00134. It matches the Rfam family "tRNA". Rfam says of the family: Transfer RNA (tRNA) molecules are approximately 80 nucleotides in length. Their secondary structure includes four short double-helical elements and three loops (D, anti-codon, and T loops). The record is from Rfam by way of RNAcentral. Lineage: Bacteria; Bacillati; Bacillota; Clostridia; Eubacteriales.